Molecule: non-coding RNA, 237 nt
Organism: Paramuricea clavata
Lineage: Eukaryota; Metazoa; Cnidaria; Anthozoa; Malacalcyonacea; Plexauridae
Source: the annotation of a GenBank genome assembly
AAGAAGAUGUAGUCAUCUUUGCUUAAUCAGUUGAAGCUGAAAGUCGUAUCAUAAUUAUUACACAGCAACUUAUAUCUAAAUGAUAAGUACAAUAAAUUCUUUAAUUUUAUCAUGAGCUACUAUUCAAGACAUAAAAAAUACAUGAUUGCUGUUGUACAGUAUAAAGAUUAUGAGAAUUCUUUUAGUGGACACUCUUGUGUCAGAAAGAUGCAGUCAUCUUUUGCUGACAGAUUAAGA